RNAcentral lists this long non-coding RNA (1223 nucleotides) under Homo sapiens (human). RNAcentral's name for it is "non-protein coding lnc-ELMO2-3:2". Lineage: Eukaryota; Metazoa; Chordata; Mammalia; Primates; Hominidae. The record is from RNAcentral.
AAACAGGUCACCUGCUGGUAUUUUGUGCAUGGGAUUUGUAAGGAAGGACAUAACUGUCGCUACUUGCAUUCCCUCUCUGACAGUCCACAUGGCGUAGUGGGCAAGUAUUUUCAGCGACGGUACUGUGUUUAUGGAGGCCGCUGCAGAUGUGAACACAGCAAGCCACUGAAACGAACAAGCAACUGCUACAGAUCUAACUACAAAAUCAUCCCUUGCUGCUUCCUUAAGUCUCUCAUUCAUAGUUGGACCGCUUGUGGAAAUGAAUACAGGCGAAGCUGAGUCAGACUCAAACUUUGCAACUGUAGGAGUGGGUUCAGAGGACUGGGUAGAUGCUGUUGAGUUUGUUCCUGGGCAACUCUACUGCAGCGUACACUGCCCCUUUCUGCAGUGACCAAGGGAGAAUCAGAGAAAGAGCAAACAGCUGUGAUAACAAGCUGCUUUGCCCCUAGGCUGCAGUGGGAGAGAUGGAAAUGGGUAGAACUGUGUGUAUCUCCACAGAGAGUCAUGUGAUCAUGUAAGCUGCAGGUCCUACCUCCAAUGGAUGCUGCCCAGAGACCACAGCAUAUAAAAAUCUUGUCCUGAGGCCCAUGAGAAGGAAACGGAGCUCUCAUUUGCUGUGCAGUGCAGCAAGGAUACGAUGUGUGGGAUCUGCAUGGAGGUGGUCUGUGAGAAAGCCAGCCCCAGUGAGCGUGGCUUUGGGAUCCUCUCCAGCUGCAGCCACGCCUACUGUCUCAAGUAUAUUCACAAGUGGAAGGGCACUAAGCUAUUUGAGAGCAAGAUCAUAGUGUCCUACCCAGAAUGCCGGAUCACAUCUAACUUUGUCAUUCCCAGUGAGUACCAGGCGGGAGAAAGAAGAGAAGCAGAAACUCAUCCAGAAAGUCAAGGAGGCAAUGAGCAGCCAGGCGUGCAGGGAUUUUGAUGAAGGACAGGGGAGCUGCCCAUCUUGGGGGAUGUGUUUUUACAAGCAGGUAUUCCCUGAUGGCCAUAGAAAGGAUACACAGAGACAGGCAAACAGAUACUGGGCCCAGUGAAGGAACCACUUCUCGGAGCUCAUUGAGGAAAGAGAGAACAAUGACCCCUUUGACAACAAUGAAGAAGAGGUUGUCACCUUUGAGCUGGGUGAGAUGUUGCUUAUGCUUUUGGCAGAUGGGGACGAUGAACUGACAGACUUUGAAAAUGAGUGGGACUUGUUCCAUGAUGAUCUGGAAGAUUUUUAUGACUUG